RNAcentral lists this long non-coding RNA (867 nucleotides) under Oryctolagus cuniculus (rabbit). RNAcentral's name for it is "lncRNA (ENSOCUG00000034654.1)". Lineage: Eukaryota; Metazoa; Chordata; Mammalia; Lagomorpha; Leporidae. The record is from RNAcentral.
ACCCAAGCCCUGGCAGUCAGCGAGAAGCACUGAGCGCGCCCUGCCUCGUGUCCGGGUGCGGCACUCCACGCCUCGCUCAGCUCACACCAAGUCAAUUCCAUCAGAGCCUCACUGGGACCAAGAGUCUCCUGCAAGGAGCCCAGAUGGCGUGCUCCCUGGUGCAUGGGGCCGGGAGCUCAGGGAUCACAGACAUAAACACGGCGCUGCAGCGGGAGGUGGGGCAGCCGCUGAACCAGAACCAAUGUGUGCGGCUCAGAUCUGCUGGGCAUGGCUGGCCCAUCCUGCCUCUCUUCCCCUUUCGUGGAAGUUCAAGGGAGCCUAUGCCUCAGGCGUUCACCCUCUGCCCCCAGGGUAAGGCCCCCUACUCAGAGGAGCCUGGGGGACUGCACCCUCCAGGGCUGGUCCAAGACAAGAUCCUCCUUAAAUUGGCUCCACCCCUUUUCAGGUUCUUCCCCCACGCAUCACCCCAGGUCAGUCUAUCCAGACGGAGGGAACCCGGGCUGGGACCAUGGCACGAUGCAUCUAAGAGAAGGUGAGGCCAGUGGCCAGAGCGCCCACGCCCCCAGGCAGAGCUUGCUUCCUAACAAGGGCUGCCAACGCACGGCUCGCUACGGUCAGGCGGUGCUGCACAUCCAGACAAGCAAGGAAGCAAAACAAGCAGAGUCUGAUCUCUAGAAGUAUGGUCGAGGGGAUCCUCCUGGAAGAGCAGAAAAAUCAACCCUCCGGCAGCUUCCAGAACCUUCGGCUCAUCGGCAGGCAGCUUGCCUGGCUCUGCUUCUGCCAACCCCACGUGUUACGCUGAGUAUUUCAAAGUGUUCGAACCACGUUCUUGCAGCUCAGAAACUCUGCCACCUCUUGCAGUGAACA